GGGGAAUUUUGGACAAUGGGGGCAACCCUGAUCCAGCCAUGCCGCGUGAGUGAAGAAGGCCUUCGGGUUGUAAAGCUCUUUCGGCCGGGAAGAAAUCGUGCAGGCUAAUACCCUGUAUGGAUGACGGUACCGGAAUAAGAAGCACCGGCUAACUACGUGCCAGCAGCCGCGGUAAUACGUAGGGUGCGAGCGUUAAUCGGAAUUACUGGGCGUAAAGCGUGCGCAGGCGGUUUUGUAAGACAGGCGUGAAAUCCCCGGGCUCAACCUGGGAACUGCGCUUGUGACUGCAAGACUAGAGUACGGCAGAGGGGGGUGGAAUUCCACGUGUAGCAGUGAAAUGCGUAGAGAUGUGGAGGAACACCAAUGGCGAAGGCGACUUUCUGGUCUGCAACUGACGCUGAGGCGCGAAAGCAUGGGGAGCAAACA
Molecule: ribosomal RNA, 426 nt
Filed under: uncultured Azovibrio sp.
Lineage: Bacteria; Pseudomonadati; Pseudomonadota; Betaproteobacteria; Rhodocyclales; Rhodocyclaceae
Description: bacterial SSU rRNA
Rfam family: Bacterial small subunit ribosomal RNA
Source: RNAcentral